AUUCACUGAGUUGCCUUUGUAUGCUGGGACGACCAAGCCGGAGGUUCCCACUAUGAGCCUGGAGCCUGAGCAGCCAGAUGACACAGGAGGUUACCAGAAAAUACUAUGCCAGAUGCCAAGAUAGAGAGGCAAUUAAUAGUCCUACCCAGUUGUGACACCUUUCAACCAUGGCAAUGACCAGCAUGAAAAUGGAGACCAUCACAGAAAUCCACCACUGGACACGAUGCAGACAUCAACAGGUCCUGGGUAGCCCUACCCAACAACUACGUCACAAUUCUUGCAUAUAUGGCUCUGCUAACAUCACAGAAGAGGGGAUAGGAAGACUGUAAGAAUGAAACACCAGAAGUCGGCUGUGAAACAGUCUUUCCUAGAAAUGCCUGCAUAAGCAACAUUUGAACAAUGGCAGUAUGAGUAGACAUGUUGAUGUGGAAAGGAAAAACAACCUCAUAGGAUCACAUCUGCGGAUAAGACAUCUGAUGAUCACUGGGAAUGGGAGAGCAUCCUCUACCAGGGAUGAGCUCUCUAAUUAGCUAUCCAAUACAAACAGUAUCACUGAAACUGUCCAUAUACAAAAAACAGAAUGGACUCAGCAGAUUGUACUUGUGCAUAAAUACAUGUAGCGAUAAUAAUGGGACAAGAAGAAUCUAGCAGUUUGAGAGUUGUGGCAACCUGGGAGAAAGUGCUAUAAUUAUAUUUUAAUUAAAAUGUAUAAAAUACAUAGAAAAA
Mus pahari (shrew mouse) is the source of this 726-nucleotide long non-coding RNA. RefSeq lists it as uncharacterized. NCBI's taxonomy places the organism in Eukaryota, Metazoa, Chordata, Mammalia, Rodentia, Muridae. The record is from RefSeq and is a predicted model, not a curated record. The transcript has 3 exons.